UGUAUAGGCUAGCUGGGGGGGUUGUAGUCUCCUGUUACCGGAAAUCUACAUAGCCGGAGUGAUUAUUACUGGAAGGCAAAUAAGCAAGGAGGCACUCUUUGUAAAAUUGCUGACGGUUCGUCCAUUAAGAUCGAAUAUCUUAGUAAACCCUGUCAGAUCCGGAAGGAAGCAGCAGUAUCCUAAGUGUUUGAUGCUUUUUGGGUUGCGGACUUGAGAUUUUAUAAAGCUAAAUGUUUUCUUGAACUGUUUUUCGACCAGUAAGUGCCUGUACA
This 272-nucleotide signal recognition particle RNA is filed under the name archaeon. Its description in RNAcentral is "signal recognition particle sRNA". It matches the Rfam family "Archaeal signal recognition particle RNA". The record is from RNAcentral.